This is a long non-coding RNA of Diorhabda carinulata, 497 nucleotides long. RefSeq lists it as uncharacterized. NCBI's taxonomy places the organism in Eukaryota, Metazoa, Arthropoda, Insecta, Coleoptera, Chrysomelidae. The transcript has 2 exons. The record is from RefSeq and is a predicted model, not a curated record.
UUACUUUCUUUCUCAUUCUAUUUCCGAAUUCGCUCCAAUGCAAGACGACAUUCGCCCGCUUGAUGCCGUUGACGUGUCUGUGAAUGCAGUGACCAUCAAAGCACCAAAAAAAAAUAGUUUGCGGUAUACUUUCGAAAAUAUUAUAUCAAUUUCUCUCAGAAUGUGCGUUAGGAAUGUUUUUAACGUGAUUUCAUUACUUAUUUUAACUUUGUUUGUUUGUAUUUUGGGAUUUCCUCUUAAACCGAAUACCGAUAUCCAAAUGAAUUUAGUUCGAUAUGAAACUGUACCUUCUAUCGAAUAUAAAUACAUUUUAAAAACAAUUUUACCAACUGAGAAUCAUUGGUGGCGACGUGGGACACAUCGAUUUUAUGCUGAAGAAUCUUCAAAAAAUAUACGAGCUCGAUGAUUACAUCUCUUUUCAUACACACGGACUGAUUAUUUAUUUGUUUAUUAUAAUAACAUGAUUAUAGAAUUAAUAAAGGAAAUAAUAGAAUUCA